UGAAUAGGGGUGUUGGAGGUGCACAAGGCCCACAUUGUUCCUCCUCGCUGUCUGCAUGUGAUAACAAUAAACCCAUUCAUUUGACCACACGAAGGGCCUUGGCUGAUUCCAGUUUUAUAUUUGGACCCAGACUCAGCUUGCUGCCCCUCUCUUUCCACCUUGAUUUGUUUCUUGUUGCCAGAUGACCUUUUAUUGUGGCACUUAUCCAUCCCUGAAGCUUGAACAUCAAUAUAAGGCUGGGACGUUGUAACAUCAUUAGGAGAAACAUUUAUGUGUCUCCUUAGAACGUUCAGAGCGCAAGCGUCAUCAAUUACAUAAGCACACAGUGAAACCGCAUCAAUGUUUCUGCACGCUAAAAAUACAUUUCCGGGUUUUAAUCCAGCAGGAUUGCCGUGCUGCCACAAAACCACCAGACUCCAGGAAUAGCUGAAAAUGGACUUUUAAUGACAACCGCGACAAGCCCAACAAAUAACAGGUUUUCCACUGCACCAAUAUUCAAACUGACGGAAUGAUUAUUGCUUGAAUGCCAAUGCCAAUGCCCUGGAUUUGAACAAACAGAGGCAAUGUGAAAUAAUGAUGCUGCUUUGAGGCACUCCACCCUGGCUCUUCAUUGGUGCAUCAGAGGAUGUAAGUGGAAAUGAUUCCCCUCUUGUUUGAUGUGAAGAAGGGUAUUUACGGUGCAGCAUAGGCACACUAGGUCACACUGUGUAAAGAACUUGUGGUUCUGUUGACUGCUGAAUCUAUUCAUGAAGGGCUGGGGAUUCAACCACUUUUACUGGUUGCAUAGAUGGUCUAAAUUCAGACAACCAAUACGAAUUUUUGCCUCAGAUGGCACGAGUGGUAAUUAGAGCGCACUUGAAUAAAUAACCCUCACAAAACUUGCAGUCCCUUGACACUUGUGUUAAGUGGAAACCUCGCGAGCACACAAUCGACAGAAAACUCUUGUCAGCUCUCUUUUAUCUUCAGCCAGCGAAUGAAAAAACAAUUUGACAUUCUCGUCUUCAGGUUAUUCUUUUGUUCUUCCAUCUUCUGUCUCCUCUCCUUAGCCCCUCUGCCACAUCAUUUAGUACAUUGUAUGUUGAACCUCCUAUGGACAAAUGUACUGGGACACAAAACCAAUUCACACGUUACAAGCUAACAGGAAGAGAAACUAGAAGACAAGAGUCAGACUAUGAAUGCAUUCCCUUGUGCCAGACUUUGGUUUUCAGUAAACAGUCAAUAGAGAAGCCAGGCAGACAAGAGAAUCAGUGACAGACCAUCCACAAAGAAAUGGGGUAAUCAAUUACUUGCUCUUGCCUAAACCAAUGCACAAGCAAGCAGAAGUGUAAAAAUGUGAAUGUAAUUAAUAGGAAGCAUUAAUCACCACCCUUUAAAGCGCUCAGUCAGUAAUAGGUCGACAGAAACAGAUCCACAAAUCGAGAGAUAGUUUGACAUAUUUAAACUUAGGCCAAGCCCCAUUACCUUCAAUGUUACGUUCUUAGAAAUAAGGGUUCCGAAAGGGUUUCUUGCUAAGAGCAGAAGUUCUACCUGGAACCAUUGGCUUCUGAAAACCCCUUUUCUGAAAAUCUUUUUUCAAGGGCUCUUUGUAAGAGUUCCUGUAAGAAAUUUUUGAACAUGCAUGGUAGGCUGAAUGAGUCCUCCAAAUUGCCCGCCGGUGUGAGUGCGAAUGGUUGUUUGUCUCUGUGAGCCCUGCGAUUGGCUGGCAAC
Molecule: long non-coding RNA, 1707 nt
Organism: Syngnathus acus (greater pipefish)
Lineage: Eukaryota; Metazoa; Chordata; Actinopteri; Syngnathiformes; Syngnathidae
Exons: 3
Source: RefSeq, a predicted model, not a curated record